GCCGGCGUAGCUCAGCGGUAGAGCGGCGGAUUUGUAAUCCGCAUGCCGGGGGUUCGAAUCCCCCCGCCGGCUCCA
Molecule: transfer RNA, 75 nt
Filed under: Bacillota bacterium
Lineage: Bacteria; Bacillati; Bacillota
Description: Firmicutes bacterium (sediment metagenome) tRNA-Thr
Rfam family: tRNA
About the family: Transfer RNA (tRNA) molecules are approximately 80 nucleotides in length. Their secondary structure includes four short double-helical elements and three loops (D, anti-codon, and T loops).
Source: RNAcentral